GAGUUUGAUCAUGGCUCAGGAUGAACGCUAGCGGCAGGCUUAACACAUGCAAGUCGAGGGGUAACAGGGAAAGCUUGCUUUCCGCUGACGACCGGCGAACGGGUGCGUAACACGUAUGCAACCUACCUUCCACUGGGGUAUAGCCCAGAGAAAUUUGGAUUAAUCCCCCAUAGAACCAAGAGCCGCAUGGCUCAAUGGUUAAAGGAUUCCGGUGGAAGAUGGGCAUGCGUCCCAUUAGCUAGUAGGUGAGGUAACGGCUCACCUAGGCAACGAUGGGUAGGGGGUCUGAGAGGAUGAUCCCCCACACUGGUACUGAGACACGGACCAGACUCCUACGGGAGGCAGCAGUGAGGAAUAUUGCGCAAUGGACGAAAGUCUGACGCAGCCAUGCCGCGUGAAGGAUGACGGCCCUAUGGGUUGUAAACUUCUUUUAUAUACCAAGAAACCUCGGGACGUGUCCCGGGCUGACGGUAGUGUAUGAAUAAGCACCGGCUAACUCCGUGCCAGCAGCCGCGGUAAUACGGAGGGUGCAAGCGUUAUCCGGAUUUAUUGGGUUUAAAGGGUCCGUAGGUGGACCAUUAAGUCAGAAGUGAAAUCCCGCGGCUCAACCGCGGAACUGCUUUUGAUACUGGUGGUCUUGAGUGUGCUCGAAGUUGGCGGAAUAUGACAUGUAGCGGUGAA
This 681-nucleotide ribosomal RNA is filed under the name uncultured bacterium. RNAcentral's name for it is "bacterial SSU rRNA". It matches the Rfam family "Bacterial small subunit ribosomal RNA", at positions 9 to 685 of the family's 1533-position model. The record is from RNAcentral.